AUUGAACGCUGGCGGCAGGCCUAACACAUGCAAGUCGAGCGGCAGCGGGAAAGUAGCUUGCUACUUUUGCCGGCGAGCGGCGGACGGGUGAGUAAUGCCUGGGAAAUUGCCCAGUCGAGGGGGAUAACAGUUGGAAACGACUGCUAAUACCGCAUACGCCCUACGGGGGAAAGCAGGGGACCUUCGGGCCUUGCGCGAUUGGAUAUGCCCAGGUGGGAUUAGCUAGUUGGUGAGGUAAUGGCUCACCAAGGCGACGAUCCCUAGCUGGUCUGGGAGGAUGCACAGCACACUGGAACUGGGACACGGUCCAGGCUCCUACGGGAGGCAGCAGUGGGGAAUAUUGCACAAUGGGGGGAAACCCUGAUGCAGCCAUGCCGCGUGUGUGAAGAAGGCCUUCGGGUUGUAAAGCACUUUCAGCGAGGAGGAAAGGUUGAUGCCUAAUACGUAUCAACUGUGACGUUACUCGCAGAAGAAGCACCGGCUAACUCCGUGCCAGCCGCCGCGGUAA
This 508-nucleotide ribosomal RNA is filed under the name uncultured bacterium. RNAcentral describes it as "partial 16S ribosomal RNA". It matches the Rfam family "Bacterial small subunit ribosomal RNA", at positions 29 to 523 of the family's 1533-position model. The record is from RNAcentral.